RNAcentral lists this long non-coding RNA (328 nucleotides) under Zostera marina. RNAcentral's name for it is "long non-coding RNA (ZMAR_LNC001841)". The record is from RNAcentral. Lineage: Eukaryota; Viridiplantae; Streptophyta; Magnoliopsida; Alismatales; Zosteraceae.
UGAAGAUAAAAUUGCAGGUCGAAUGCAUUCAUUCAAUGCAUAGGAUAUAUGACAUGGUGUCAUGUCCAACGAUAGUAAAUUUAAUGAAAUGUAUGCAGUGCAAUGACUUCAUCUGUCAGAAAGGAAAGAUCUCUCAUCACUCAUCAAGAGAGAUUUAAUACGUACGUACGUACGUCGCCCAACUUCAAUUCAUAAUCGCCGGACACACGCAGCAUCGUUGGAUUUGCAGCAAGUACACGUCCAUACACGCACACUUCGAUCGUUUCAAUCUUUCAGAAAAAUAACGCCUCUACGUUCGUCCAUGAACCAGAACUGUUUCAACUUCUUC